This 683-nucleotide ribosomal RNA is filed under the name uncultured bacterium. RNAcentral describes it as "bacterial SSU rRNA". It matches the Rfam family "Bacterial small subunit ribosomal RNA", at positions 48 to 744 of the family's 1533-position model. The record is from RNAcentral.
CGAACGAAGCAUUUACACGGAUUUCCUUCGGGGAUGAAGGGUUUAUGACUGAGUGGCGGACGGGUGAGUAACGCGUGGGCAACCUGCCCCGUACCGGGGGACAACAGCCGGAAACGGCUGCUAAUACCGUAUACGUUUUAAGGACCGCAUGGUCCUUAAAACAAAACUCCGGUGGUACGGGAUGGGCCCGCGUCUGAUUAGCUCGUUGGCGGGGUAACGGCCCACCAAGGCGACGAUCAGUAGCCGGCCUGAGAGGGCGGCCGGCCACAUUGGGACUGAGACACGGCCCAGACUCCUGCGGGAGGCAGCAGUGGGGAAUAUUGCACAAUGGGGGAAACCCUGAUGCAGCGACGCCGCGUGAGCGAGGAAGUACCUCGGUAUGUAAAGCUCUGUCAGCAGGGAAGAAAAUGACAGUACCUGACCAAGAAGCCCCGGCUAACUACGUGCCAGCAGCCGCGGUAAUACGUAGGGGGCAAGCGUUAUCCGGAUUCACUGGGCGUAAAGGGAGCGCAGGCGGCACGGCAAGUCUGAUGUGAAAACCCGGGGCUCAACCCCGGGACUGCAUCCCAAACUGCCGGGCUGGAGUGUCGGAGGGGUAAGCGGAAUUCCUGGUGUAGCGGUGAAAUGCGUAGAUAUCAGGAGGAACACCGGUGGCGAAGGCGGCUUACUGGACGACAACUGAC